GCAUGGGAAAGUGAUCCAUUUUAACUCCGGCGAGGCACCAACUCACUUUAAAUACGAGGUGCUGGUGGGAUUGAGCCGUUCCUCUUUUACCCAGAGGCCCCUGCGCACAUUCGCCCCCGAGGGGAGCCCGAACAGGCCCUUCAUUUUCAUAAGGGGGAAUUUAUGGCACCAGUGAGACGGGACCAAAUCGCUUCCCACAGCUGCCGUGGUACGGCUCUAAAUCUCCCUCCCUCCCUCCCUCCGUCUUUCUCCCUCCCUCCCUCCCUCCCUCUCUCCCCCUUCUCUCGCUCUCACCAAUUCUUUCUGCCUCCUCCUCUGUCUCUCCAUUUUGGUUCAGUGAUGGAAAAAAAAUGAGAGAUCUCCAUCUUAAAUUCCAUCUCACAGCCCAAAAUCUUAUUCUCCCCACGGGAUCCCACAGAGUCGUUACCUGCUGUGGAACCAUCCCUGUACAGAUGAUGCCAUCAACUGUGUUCGGACCCCAGGCUGGAACGCCUCAGACGGUGCCAUACGGUACAUUUAUCAGUGCUGCUAACGGACAGAAAGACGUCACGCGCAAUAAAUCCAGAGUCCGCGUUGCGUACAAAGCCAGUCACUGUGGAUACAGCGACUGCUCUUUAUUAACUGAAAGCCGAGACAUUCUGAAACAUGAAAACUCUUAAAAGCUUCUUUUACAGGUAUACAUUUGUAUAUUUCAUUAUAAUGAUUGUUUUAAGGCACGAGUUAAAUAAAGUACAUGGAGAAGGCAAGAGGUUUGCAAUGGAAAGAGGAAAAGUAGGCCUACUCAUGACGAGACAGUUUUCAUUUUGAUGGCUUACAUAGGUAACAAAGAAUGUAACGACAGGUGAUAAACUGAUACACUUUGACCCACCCACGGACCCACGGUGGAGCAUAACAAAAACAUUUUUUUCUCCAACUUCUGCGGCGGAUUCUCCAUUUCGGCAACAAAAUCCAGUCCGUUUCUCGGUCGCUUCAGUAAUCGUCACAUCCUCCUGCGUUCGGCGGAAGUCCCAGCCACGCGCGAGUCACUCAUAAAGAAUGCAAACCCCGAGAUGCAAUGCCUUGGAGCCAAGGCGGCGAAUGGGGAACAGCAGACACAUGCGUGCUUUAAACAAGGUGUGCUCGUAUUUUAAUCUAUCGUUCAGACAAAUGUUGUGACGAGACAACUACAGGCGAGUUCGGAGAAAAGGUCGUUUGUUGGUCUGUUAAGAGAGAGAACUUUACCCCAAAAUCGAAUGUUUGCAGAAGAUUUAUAUCUGUCCACCGAUAACGAGGUGAAAAGGAAAACAUGUACAACACGACAAUUUUCUACAGAGCCGCCUCCACUCGGAAAAAAUCCGUUGGAAUGACGCUGUUGUGUCGUGUCACCAUGGGAGCCACGCGCACUCAACGUCACCGGGACAAACAGGUUAGCCGUAGCCGUAUUUCUGAUGCUAGACGUGCAAUGUGAAAUAUAUAGACAGCCAUAAAACUUAGAGGAAAAAAAGAGAUAGUUUUAAACAUUCCAACUGUGAAAGGAUCAACAAAAUACAAACUGAAUAUGGGUGAAGUGCCCCUUUUAAGGUGAGAAGGACAGACAUUCGUAGAUCAACUGAAAACCGCAGUGAAGCUGCCAGACCAACAAUAGCGGCUCAGUCAUUACUGUACAAUGAAGUCCACAGAAAACGAAUACCAUUUGAUGAUUAAUAUUUAUAUAUAUUUAAAACAUAAAGAAUAAUGUGCAAACAUACAUACAUAUAAUUUGGCUUAAAACCCACAUAGGCAAUAAAAUGAAAUACUUGUCUCUUUGGUGGCUAGUGUUCUGCUGCUAAUGGUAAAGAAACUUCCAUCUCGUUGGACUGGAUUAUGAGUAGAUUCAGACUAAAAAAAAGUAUCAAAUGUUUUUAUUGUGUUUUUUUUGUUUGUUUUUGUUUUAACGAAAUGGUCCUUUUGACCUUUUAAGCGAUUCGACUCCCCUUUCCGAACACUGACGCUCCUCCUCCAUCUUGUCUUCUUCGCGGUACAGUAACGUAUUUACAAAUUGUACAUCCCCUACAUCAAAAUAAUAAUAAUAAUAAUAAAAUAAAA
Molecule: long non-coding RNA, 2064 nt
Organism: Anguilla rostrata (American eel)
Lineage: Eukaryota; Metazoa; Chordata; Actinopteri; Anguilliformes; Anguillidae
Exons: 2
Source: RefSeq, a predicted model, not a curated record